UGAAUCCGGGUUCAUCCGACACCAGCCGCCUCCACCAUGCCGCCUAAGUUCGACCCCAACGAGAUCAAAGUCGUGUACCUGAGGUGCACUGGUGGGGAAGUCAGUGCCAUGUCUGCCCUGGCCCCCAAGAUCGGCCCCUUGGGCCUGUCUCCAAAAAAGGUCGGUGAUGACAUAGCCAAGGCAACUGGUGAUUGGAAGUGUCUGAGGAUUACAGUGAAACUGACCAUUCAGAACAGACAAGCCCAGAUUGAGGUGGUACCUUCUGCUUCUGCCCUGAUCAUCAAAGCCCUCAAGGAACCACCAAGGGACAGAAAGAAGCAGAAAAACAUUAAGCACAGUGGAAACAUCACUUUUGAUGAGAUCGUCAACAUUGCCCGGCAGAUGUGGCAUCGGUCUCUAGCUAGAGAACUUUCUGGAACCAUUAAAGAGAUCCUGGGGACCGCCCAGUCUGUGGGCUGCAAUGUUGAUGGCCGUCACCCUCAUGACAUCAUAGAUGAUAUCAACAGUGGUGCAGUGGAGUGCCCAGCUAGUUAAGAACUGCAAAGGAAAAAGAAAAAGGAUCAUUUGACAACCCCCCCAAAAAAAAGAGCUAAACAUGUAUCUCAUGAUGAAUUUUUUCUUCAAAUCAAUGUAAAACAAAUCACUUUAUUUUUGUUAACUAUAUUUGUAAUCUCUGUCUCAUGAAGCCAGUUGUUCUAGAGUCAGUCUUGAGAAUGUAGUAUGUAAUUCCCUUCUUGGGACCUUACAUAAAAUCUAUCCCAGUAAGACUAUACUUUCAGGGAUCAUUUCUAUAGUUCGUUACUAGAGAAGUUUCUCUGAUCGUGUAGAGCACCCGAAACCACGAGGAGGAGAUAUAGCAUUCUCUCCUGAGCGUGAAGUCGGCUCUUGGUGUUGCUUCUGCAGCUGCCAUUUGCCAUUGAUGAUCGUUCUUCAUUUCCUUUUUGGAAAAUGAAGAGGGAGAGGACGUAGAAAAAAAAGAAAAAAAAAAAAAAAAUCUAUCCCAGUGAAACUAGUAAUAGAAGACUUUAAGGUCCAGCAGAAGAAAUACUGCCUGUUGACACAAGCCUUAAUCUUUACAACAGGAGAACUAAUUGAUAAUUGUGUUAACAUUGAAGUAAAAAAGUACUGUAAAUCUCUUAUGGGUAUCUCUUGGGACUAGAUCUGAUUUUGGGAAAUAACAGUAAAUUCAGAUUGCUUAAUAUUAACCUGUUAAAUAUAGAAUUGUUUCCAGUUAGUGGUUAAAAAUCUUAUUCACAGAGGGCUAACCCAUGGCCAGGACAUGAGGGUUUUUGAAAUGACACCCACACAAUCCAGCUGCAUAGGUCUGGGAUCUAAGCAGUUUGAAACAUGGUGGUGGACUCUGCCAGAGCCACCUUCAGUCCAGCACCUUGAGUUUUAUUUAAAAGCUAGAUCUGAUAUUGGCAGUAUUUUUAUUAACAUUGAAAUAUUUUGAACUUUAGUCACUGUAAUUAAAGGAUAAAGGUACAAUAAGACCUCAAGAAUUUGUCACUAUCAAGAUGGAAAGAAUGUGCCACAUAAAAUUAGACAUAAGUUUAAAUUAUGAAGAAUUUUAAGAUGUAGAUUUAGGUAACAGUAAACAAAAGAAGGAAGGAAGGAGUGAGUGCCUGAGCAGAUAGCCCUAAACCUGCCAUGAUGCUGUCUUUGUAGAGUAUCUGGGUGCUCUGUCCAUGCAGGAAUAUGGGUUUGUUGGUUUCUCAUAAAGCAGCAGCAGACCCAACUUGCUGUCCCUUAGAAGCCAAACUGCCACAGAUAAGAUUGUUUCUGUUGGGUUCUUUUGUGAGCCAUUUUCAUAAAGAGAACAGACAAAUUUCAACCUAACCUCCAAAAUGAUGAUAAAUCUGAGCAGAAUUAAUGUUUCUAUUUGGAAAAGGAAGUGGCAAUCCACUCCAGUAUUCUUGGCUGGAGAAUCCCAUGGUUGGAGGAGCCCGGUAGGCUACAGUCCACAGAGUUGCAAAGAGUCGGACAUGACUGAGCGACUUCACUUUCACUUUAAUGUUUCUAUUAGAUGAUACUGACAUAACCCUUUGAAGAUUCAUGAGGUUUUUGCUGUUUGUAAUGGAUGAAGUUUGCUACAUCCUGAAGUAUUUGGAUUUCUACUUCAUAUCUACUCAGUAGACACUGAGGUAUAUUUCAGUGUUUGGACGUAAGUGACCUCAAAGCACAGUUUGUCCCAAAGCCUUUGCGGGCUUUCCUGUUCUUGUCUUCAGAACAUCAUACCACUAAGUAGCAGCUUAUCUUCAAGAACAUUCACUUAGUUGCAACAUUAACCAUGUUCACAUACUUUCUGAGAACUUACUGGUUGUAAUUUCAGAUAAUAUACACCUGGAGGCAUUUAACAUUCGUAACAUUUAACGUGUUAUUAGAACUCAAUUCUUGGAUUUUCUACAGUGCAAGCUUUGGUUGGGGAAAUAUUGAUUCAUGAUCCUUGAGUUCUCUAGGGAACAAAAAUUCCUCUAAUGACUGCUGCUCAGAGUCCUACCCCUUUCUGAGUUCUUUCUAUCCAUCUCAGUUAAAAAAAAGACUAGAUGCAGAUGGUAUUGUGCAAGGUAUGCCUGGGGUUAUAGAUUGUCCUCAAGCAGUAGCUGCUGCACCAACUGGAGAGGAGCCUUGCCAGGAAACUGAUGAUUCUACUUAAGGCCAAGAGUCCAGUCUCCUGACUGAAAGGUUUUCAUGGAAAAAUGCAGAGAUCAGCUAGUUGAAUAUUUAUUAUUCCAUUCCUAGAGGAUUAGACCAAGUCACCGUAAAUGAAUAAAAUGUCUUUUCAUUUUAAAAUACUGGUAGAGUUUUGCUUAUAGCUCUCAAAACUCAAAUUUUCAUUAUUAUUCCUGUGGUCCAUGAUGGUAAAUAUAGAAACAUAUGAGGAAAUUUUAGGGUUAUCAGAUAUUAGCCGUUGCAAACUGCAAAUUCCUAGGUUUCAGGGAAUUUUUUAUUUUUAUUUUGUCUUAUAUGUAAGUGGAUUAUCUUGAGGAAAAUCAUGGAACAUUGGGAGGGAUACUAAGAAUUCUGAAGCAAAACAGUUUAACCACGUUACUGUCAACUGUUUCACAGAUUAGGUAACAACGUGAUUGUCCAUCCUCUGCAUAAUAUUCCAACUGGUGACUGUUUGUAAACAUUUCCAAUUGCUAUGAAUUCAAGGAAAUUACUUUGGUGCAUGUAAUUUGCUACUUUCUUACCCCUUUAACUGUCCUGGUUUGAGUUUGGUUCCUACCUGAUGAAGUGUAUUUAGUAUGUAUUGUUCCACAUGCCUGGCAGGACAUGUCAGUGAAGGUGGGAGUACUGGAGGAGGUGCACAGGUUGAAAGACUUGAGUCAUGGUUGGACAGUGGUGACCCACCAACCUUCGAAUAAGCCAAACCACUAACCCCAUCUUCCUUUGUAAAAUUGAAAAACCCUUAAUAAACUCUGUAAUCAACAC
Molecule: non-coding RNA, 3435 nt
Organism: Odocoileus virginianus texanus
Lineage: Eukaryota; Metazoa; Chordata; Mammalia; Artiodactyla; Cervidae
Source: RefSeq, a predicted model, not a curated record